GUCCACACCCUAACGAUGAAUACUAGAUGUUGGGGAUUCGACCCCUCAGCGUCGCAGCUAACGCAGUAAGUAUUCCACCUGGGAAGUACGAUCGCAAGGUUGAAACUCAAAGGAAUUGACGGGGCCCGCACAAGCAGUGGAGCAUGUGGUUUAAUUCGAUGCAACGCGAAGAACCUUACCGGGGCUUGAACUGCUGUGGACCAUCCCGAGAAACCGGGACUUCCCGCAAGGGACUGCAGUAGAGGUGCUGCAUGGCUGUCGU
This 262-nucleotide ribosomal RNA is filed under the name uncultured bacterium. Its description in RNAcentral is "partial 16S ribosomal RNA". It matches the Rfam family "Bacterial small subunit ribosomal RNA", at positions 793 to 1055 of the family's 1533-position model. The record is from RNAcentral.